UACGUAGGGGGCGAGCGUUGUCCGAAGUUACUGGGCGUAAAGCGCACGUAGGCGGUUAUCUAAGUCUGGGGUGAAAGGUUCAGUGCUUAACGCGAACAGUGCCUUGGAGACUGGAUGACUUGAGUUUGGGAGAGGGUAGUGGAAUGGCUGGUGUAGCGGUGAAAUGCGUAGAUAUCAGUCGGAACACCAAUGGCGAAGGCAGCUACCUGGCCUAAAACUGACGCUGAGGUGCGAAAGCGUGGGGAGCGAA
Molecule: ribosomal RNA, 250 nt
Filed under: uncultured bacterium
Lineage: Bacteria
Description: partial 16S ribosomal RNA
Rfam family: Bacterial small subunit ribosomal RNA
Source: RNAcentral